AUCAACUUUCGAUGGUAGGAUAGAGGCCUACCAUGGUGGUAACGGGUAACGGGGUGUUAGGGCACGACACCGGAGAGGGAGCCUGAGAAACGGCUACCACAUCCAAGGAUGGCAGCAGGCGCGCAAAUUACCCAAUCCCGACACGGGGAGGUAGUGACGAUAAAUAACAAUACGGGGUUCUUUCGGAUUUCGUAAUUGGAAUGAGUACAAUUUAAAUCUCUUAACGAGGAACAAUUGGAGGGCAAGUCUGGUGCCAGCAGCCGCGGUAAUUCCAGCUCCAAUAGCGUAUAUUAAAGUUGCUGCAGUUAAAAAGCUCGUAGUUGAAUUUCGGGACCAAUAUGUCGGUCGUGCCUCGGUACGUACUGGCAUCGUUGGUUUCUCCCUUCUGACGAACCAUGAUGUCAUUUAUUUGGUGUCGUGGGGAAUCAGGACUGUUACUUUGAAAAAAUUAGAGUGUUUAAAGCAGGCUCACGCUUGAAUACAUUAUCAUGGAAUAAUGAAAUAGGACGUUUGAUUCUAUUUUGUUGGUUUCUAGGAUCGACGUAAUGAUUAAUAGGGAUAGUUGGGGGGCAUUAGUAUUCAAUUGUCAGAGGUGAAAUUCUUGGAUUUACUGAAGACUAACUACUGCGAGAGCAUUUGCCNAGGAUGUUUUCAUUAAUCAAGAACGAAAGUUAGGGGAUCGAAGACGAUCAGAUACCGUCGUAGUCUUAACCAUAAACUAUGCCGACUAGGGAUCGGAUGAUGUUAAUUUUUUAAUGACUCAUUCGGCGCCUUACGGCAAACCAAAGUGUUUGGGUUC
This 799-nucleotide ribosomal RNA is filed under the name uncultured Glomus. Its description in RNAcentral is "SSU rRNA". It matches the Rfam family "Eukaryotic small subunit ribosomal RNA", at positions 314 to 1114 of the family's 1831-position model. The record is from RNAcentral. Lineage: Eukaryota; Fungi; Glomeromycota; Glomeromycetes; Glomerales; Glomeraceae.